This 86-nucleotide transfer RNA is filed under the name Clostridiaceae bacterium. RNAcentral's name for it is "tRNA-Tyr". It matches the Rfam family "tRNA". From Rfam's summary of the family: Transfer RNA (tRNA) molecules are approximately 80 nucleotides in length. Their secondary structure includes four short double-helical elements and three loops (D, anti-codon, and T loops). Lineage: Bacteria; Bacillati; Bacillota; Clostridia; Eubacteriales; Clostridiaceae. The record is from RNAcentral.
GGGAGAAUUCCCGAGUUGGCCAAAGGGGGCAGACUGUAAAUCUGUUGUCACUGACUUCGGUGGUUCGAAUCCACCUUCUCCCACCA